RNAcentral lists this ribosomal RNA (238 nucleotides) under uncultured bacterium. RNAcentral's name for it is "partial 16S ribosomal RNA". It matches the Rfam family "Bacterial small subunit ribosomal RNA", at positions 118 to 354 of the family's 1533-position model. The record is from RNAcentral.
UGAGCAAUCUGCCCUUCUCAUCGGAAUAAGCGUUGGAAACGACGUCUAAUGCCGAAUACGACCUCCUUUCGCAUGAUCGGAGGUGGAAAGCUCCGGCGGAGAAGGAUGAGUUCGCGGCCUAUCAGCUUGUUGGUGGGGUAAUGGCCCACCAAGGCAACGACGGGUAGCCGGCCUGAGAGGGUGACCGGCCACACUGGGACUGAGACACGGCCCAGACUCCGUACGGGGAGGCAGCAGG